This 7107-nucleotide long non-coding RNA is filed under the name Glycine max (soybean). RNAcentral's name for it is "long non-coding RNA (GMAX_LNC003406)". The record is from RNAcentral. Lineage: Eukaryota; Viridiplantae; Streptophyta; Magnoliopsida; Fabales; Fabaceae.
GAAAUUACAGUUAAGGACAUUUCUUUUUUAAGCCUUGUAUAUUAUAUAUUUGUAUAAGAGGACUACACGUAUGGAAGAGGUUAACAUGCAGAACAUCUCAAUCUCAACAUUAAUAGUAACUCAGGGCCAAGGCUAUCCAAAUAAAAAUAUGUUGCUCAGAAACAUCCAUUAAACAAUAAACAUAAGAGCAAAAAAAAAGGAAACUAAUUACCAAGAAUCCUUAUUAUACUGCACGUAUAUAUCUGAUAUAUAGCAGGAUACAUACAUUGCCAAAGGAUCAUUGGUUGCCCUUCAAGGUUAAGGAUUACAACUGUGACCUAACUAGUCGGACUAACAUAUAUGAAGAGCUCCCUUUCUUCCUUUUGCUCCCUUGAUGAUUGCAAACGCUGUCCCAUGAUCUGAACUUGGGAUUCAUAUUGACCUUGGCUGGAAGAAAGAAGAGUUAGUGCCAAAACGUUUGCUGAUAAGAGCAAACACAAGGUGACAAUACAAUAAUGGUGCUCAGGUGAAGAAAACUUGUUGGUUUUAGUAAGUGGCUUUUAAUUUGUAAGUGAAAUGGAAAGUGGAGGAAAGGAUCUUCCUGGCAUAUGCCUUACUCACUCUGCUUUGUGUUUGCUUUUCUGAUUCACUUUUUUUAUAUAUCUUUUUCUAACAUAAUCUGACACCUGCAUUUAGUUUAGGAAUCUACCAAGAAAAUUCUCCCUAGUGACAUUUAUGUGUUAAGGAUGUCAUCAAUUGGCCUAAAUUCAAUCUAGCUAUCUGCUGAAAUAAUUGGUAAUGGAUCAAGAAUCCAGGUUUGAAUAUAAACAAUUACUAAAGAAAAUUUUAUAAAUAUGAAUGCGGUUCUCUAUAUAUUAUAUAUGUUUGAUCUAUGGUUCUCAAUAUAUUAGAUAUAAAAUGACUAAAAUAUGUUUUUUUUUUGUGAAAUUGAUAGUUUAAAUUUAAUUCUUCUAAAAAAAUUUGUUCUCUUAAAAUUAUAAUAUAUAAUUUUUUGACUUGGAGCAAGGUAUAGGGUAGAUUUUUUUACACCCAUUAUAUAUAACUGAUGUAAAAAAGUUAUAGUUCAAAUAUCUGAAAUUUUUUAUGAACCAAAAAUGACAAGUUAUAAGUUUAUGAGAAUGAAAAAUAUAUCAAAAUUUUUAUAGGAAUAAAAUCUAAAUUUUGCAAAUCUUAUAAUGACAAAAAAAUAUAUCUGAGCAUAUAUAUAUAUAUAUAUAUAUAUAUAUUUGAAUUUUCAUCCAAUAAAAAAUAACAUGAAUAAUGUAUGUUUAUUAAUUUUUAUAAUAAUUAGUAUGUUAAAAAUAAUACCAAUAAUAAUUUUCUGUCAGAAAAAAAAUCUUAUUUCACGUUAAUUUAGAUUGACUCUUGUUAAGACAAUAGAAUCAAACUAUUCAUGAGAUGAGCUAAUCUAAGAAUAAUAGCUGUCAAAAGUCUUAAUUUAAGCAAUUGGAGAGAAUCGAAGAGUAAUAUGAGGAGUCAAUUCAAAAUUCAAAUGUCAUAUACUCUGAACAUUUGUAUGCUGUGAAUAUUAAUGCAAAUAUUAUCCUUAUCAUAUUAUACGCUCAUUUCAUAUGGUAUCAGAGCUCCAAACAAACUCUCUCCAUGUAGUACACCAUAUGUCUUCCUUGGCUACUCUACACAAUAUCACUCCUAUAUUUGUCCAAAUCGAGCAAAUCAAAAGGUGCAUAUGUCUCGCCAUGUAAUCUUCAUUGAAGACCAAUUCCCCUUCUCCCAAUCCAACCCUCAACCAUCACCACACAAUUCGUGGCUUCCACUCCCCAAUAUCAUACCUCCCUUGGCCGAAACCGCCUCACCAAAUUCAAUGGCACCCAAUCCCCAAAUCGCAUCCCCACAUCACUCUCCAAUAUCCCUCCAAAUCAGCCCAAACAUAACUCUUUCAAAUCACUCCACUUCAACGUCACACAAUUCAACCGUAACCCCACCUCUAAAUUCUAAUAACUCCCACACACCAAAUCAACAUACAUCCAUAACACAUCAAUCACCCAGUACUACCCAAACAUCUAAUCAACCAACACCCGAACCACACCAUCCACCAAGUAACACCACCUCUCCCAACCCUUUACCAAUGCCACCACCAGUCGACUACACAUCAACAUCAACCUCGGUGCCUUCAAGACCUGUUGCACGGUCCAUGAACGACAUACAUAAACCCAACAAAAAAUUCUUGCUGGUCACAAAACAUCCCAUACCACCAUCACAUGAACCUACAUUGUCUCACAAGCAAUGGCUUCCCUGGAGUGGCGUGCAUGCCGCCAUGGCCUCAAAAUUCAAUGCACUAAUCCAGCAAGGGACAUGGGAUCUAGUUCCCAAAAAUAAAGCCUCUAAUCUCAUUGGGUGUAAGUGGAUGUUCAGAGUGAAGCGGCACUCAGAUGGCUCCAUUGAUAGGUGCAAGGCACGUCUAAUCGCAAAAAGGCUUUCAUCAUCGCCCUGGACUAGACUAUGAUCAAACUUUCAGCCUGGUGAUUAAACCGCCAACAGUUUGGUUAGUUCUUACACUUGCCAUUCAACACCGUUGGCACAUUCGUUAGCUUGAUGUCAACAAUGUGUUUUUGCAUGGUAAGCUUUUGAAAACUGUCUACAUGCAACAACCACCAGGAUUUCACAAUCCAGACUAUCCUUAUCAUGUUUGCAGGCUAAAGAAAUCCUUGUAUGGUUUAAAACAGGCUCCUCAAGCUUGGUUUAACACCUUGUAUUCCUUCUUACUCUCCUAUGGGUUCAUCAACUCCAAAUCCGACCCGUCACUGUUUAUCUAUCUCAAAGGUGAUGCCAAACUCAACACAUUGGUAUAUGUUGAUGAUAUUUUAAUUACAGGUAACAAUGAUCAAGCAAUACAUAGGUGCAUUUCCACACUAGCUACGGUGUUCUCCAUUAAGGACUUGGGAUACAUUCAUUUAUUCCUUAGGGUUGAAGCCAUUCCUACCACUCAAGGACUAUUCCUUAGUCAACACAAAUAUAUUCAUGACUUGCUUGGCCACACACAAAUGGCAGAUGCAAAGGUUGUUGAUUCACCAAUGUCCACCUCUUCUCAACUCACUCAAUAUGAUGGCACAAGUGCAGUUGACGCUACUUAAUAUAGAAGCAUCAUAGGAGCCCUUCAGUAUUUUUCAAUGACAAGGCUAGACAUAGCCUACACAGUCAACAAGCUCGAACAAUUCAUGCAGAGCCCAUUCUCCACACACUUAUAUCUCUCCUCUUUCUUCUCUCUCGAGUUGUAGACAACUCAAAGUUGUCCAAGAAACAUUUUUCUUUAUAAUUUCCUGGAAUUCUUUUUUUUUUUUUUUUUACAAUAGUUGCCCUGAAGUUAGAAGUAUAACCUUAUGCAUAUUACUCAAAUCCCCGUAUUGUAAACUAGAGCCUUUAUGAAUUUAAAUUUACUGAUUAAUAUAAGUGCAUUCACAUCAAUUUUUGUAGUCAACAGAUAAAUUAUGUGUAGGAGUUUCGUCAGGCCUUGGGAUCUAUCAUCUGCCUCCUUGGUCUAUGGUUGUUGUAUAAAGUGGCAAGGAAGAGAGUGAUAAAGAAACGCAUACAAAAAUUCUUCAAAAAGAAUGGUGGUUUGUUGCUAAAAAAAAGAAUGUCAUCUGGUGAAGUUAAUGUGGACAAAGCUACUUUGUUCAGCUUAAAGGAUUUAGAGAAAGCCACUGACCACUUUAACUUGAACAUAAUUAUAGGAAAGGGAGGCCAAGGUACUGUUAGGAUGUUAGGAUGAGUUUAUCAUCCUUUCACAAAUUAACAAUAGAAAUGUGGUCAAGCUGUUAGGAUGUUGUUUGGGGACAGAAAUACCCUUGCUUGUUAUGAAUUCAUUCCUAAUGGUAACCUUUUUCAAUAUUUACAUGAUCAAAACGAGGACUUACCAAUGACAUGGGAUAUUCGUUUGAGAAUUGCAACAGGAAUUGCAGGAGCACUGUUUUACUUGCACUCAGUUGCAUCUCAACCCAUUUAUCACAGAGACAUCAAAUCCACAAAUAUUCUAUUGGAUGAAAAGUAUAGAGCUAAAAUUGCAGACUUUGGAGCAACCCGAAUGAUUUCCAUUGAAGAUACUCAUCUCACCACAGUCGUUCAAGGUACCUUUGGAUACUUGGAUCCCGAAUAUUUUCACACUAGUCAAUUUACAGAAAAAAGUGAUGUCUAAAGUUUUGUAGUUCUUGCUGAACUUUUAACAGGCCAACAACCAAUGUCCUCAGUGAGAAAUGCGGAAUCCAAUAAUUUGGCUUCAUAUUUUGUUCAGUGUAUGGAGGAGGAUAAUCUGUUUGACAUUAUUGACAAAAAGAGUUGUGAAAGAAGCAGAGAAGGGGCAAAUCAUUGCAGUUGCUAAUCUUGCAAAUAGAUGCUUAGAGUUGAAUGGAAAGAAACGUCCAACUAUGAAAGAAGUUACUUUUGAGUUAGAAAGGAUCAAGAGAUUGGUUAAAUCCAAUGCAGAACAAAACCAUGAAGAAAUUGAACUUGGUAGAAUAGAAGAUUGCCAACCUUGGGUUGCAUAUUCCACAUCAAAUUCGUUGCCAACUCUAAGCAGUGAAACAAUCUCAUCAGACUCGGAGGUUAUACCUAUUGUUACAUUAUAAUAAUUGAUGAAUUUUCAUAAUUUGUUCUUCAUGCAGAAUCGAUAAUCAUUUUUGGUAAUUGAAGACAUGUAACAGCCUAAACUCUGUAAGUGUAAUUGUUAGGAGUUAUUUAUAAUAAAACAGAGCACAGGACUCAUCAAUGGUGCAUGAGGAUCCGUGUGUUUGCUCUCUUACCAAAUACUGCCUUCUUGUUAUUUUCUUCUUUGUAUUUUUUUUAAAGCCAACAAAAGUGCAUUUUAUUGAUAAAGCCAAAAAACAGGUACAAGUAGUACCCGAUUGAACAAAAAUUACAGUAAUUAGAUCAUGGUUUACCUACACCACAUAUAUAUCAACAUGGCUCGAUAUCCCCCUUUGCACAGCACCAGUGUAACAUUCAGACAAUAAAUUUACAAAACCAAGCACCGGUAAACUAUAUACCACCUAGAAUCAGCUUGAUAUGUUAUUGCAAUUUAUAUGUAUCUUUGUCGAGACAUUCUUAUUCUUUGUAUGGAUUAUUGAAGCAUAUAGUUUGUACGAGAGAACUGGAAAAGGUUUUGGGGAAUUAAAAAGGGACUAAAGGGUGAAUGCUCUAAUUUUAAUUGAUAGUGUGGCAUGUAAACUUUUUUAUUUUAAUUUGAUUACAAGAACUUAGACUAUUUUCACCUACAAAAUAGUCUGACAAUGACUGUGCUUCAAAUCUCUAUUUGUGUGUAGCAUGGGUUAGGAUGCAUCAUUUGUGUGCAAUUAUAAUCCCUUCAUAUGAUUGUGGUGAUUGUAUCAUGUUUUGUGAUCAUGCAUGUUAACUGCUAGAUGUCUUGAUAUUUGUUAUGUUAUGGUGUGACCGGAAGUAUCAUAUGAUUCUAUCAAUGGCUAUUGUGCUAGUUGUGUUUCAUGAUAUCUGGUUUUUUGGGUUCAGUGAGUUGCAUUCUAAAAGUUUGUACCGAACUGCACUAUUUUGGUCCUCCGAACUGAACUGUUAUAUAUUCAUGGACUGGUUUUUUUUUCUGUUGUUGUUGUUAAUUUGGUUUUGCAACAAGUUAUUAUGUGCUUGUUUGAUUCAGUAUCAAGAUAUUAAUUUUUUAUAAGUUUAAUAGAUAUUGUAUAAUAGAUCAAUUUUAUAACAAUUAAUCCAACCACGGAUUGUAACAGUUCAGUUUUGUAAAACUAAACUUAAAAAAAAGUUCAGUUCAGUUUUCAUAAAAAAAUAGGCCAGUUUUUUAUAUUUCAAUUCAGUGCAGUUGAUAGCAAUUCAGCGGAUAUCAACACAAGCAUUUUGCACAUUUUAUUAUCAUUACCUGAUUAGUGGCAAUAUUCACAAUUCUAUUAUAACAAACUAUAGGAUAUUUUGUAAGAAAAUCUAUAAAUAAGGAACAGAGGAAAUAAGAAAAGAAGAGAACAAUUACCUUAAUUAGCUUUCCUUAGUUCCUUAAUUGUAGUAGUAGAAUAGAGUAGCGUUAUUUGUAUCAAUUGGUCCGACCUGCCCCCUUCUCUGCCAUUCUUCAAUGGCAGAUGCUGAACCUCUCAACGCCAGCCUGGACCGGCUCGAGGCAGCCAUGGCCAACCUCGCCGCAGUGGAUUCCGAUCUCCAUGCAUCUCACCUUCGUUUAGAUGCGCUCCACGCUUCCAUGCUCUUCAAACUUGAUUUCCUUAGCCGGAAACUAGAUAUCAUGAUUUUCCGCCAACGAUCCCCGUCACCUUCUCCGGUACAGCCACCACCGCCGCCGUUGCCACCGUUUCCUCCUUCAGCGCAACCACCAUCGACACCGCCAGCUCCUCCGCCUUGCUCUCACGUACCUCCUCCCAUGGCUAGACAACGAGAUAGUCCUGUUAUUGGAAUCGAUUCCAGCACCAUCGACUUCCCCGUCAGCGUGUGGCAGCACCACCGUGCCGACAUCAACCGCCACUUCCAGUCCAUCCAGCUGUGGCCUUUGCCGCUCCGCACCAACACCCGCUGUUACCGCAAGAUCCCCCACGACAACGACAUCAACCUGCACGGGAACGUCGUGGUUGCGUAUCAGCUUCAUCCUCGUUGGAUUUGGGUUCUUUGUGCUUCUGAGACUUAGCGUUGCUUUGUUCGUCCUCGGCGCCAACGCCCGCCGCCAUGCCCGCCGCCACGGCCACCACCACCUCCGAAGCCACCGCCUCCACCAUUAUCUCUGUUACCGUCUUUAACACCUCCCUUGAUUGCUCUACGGCGCGGGUAACACACCCACUCCUUUCCUUGGUCGUUCAGUUUCGUGGCAUGGGUCACACACUCGCUUACUGCUUCAGACAUUAAUAAUGUUGGGCCUAAACCAGCUCACAAACAAAGUAACUUCCCUAACAUACCUCCUGUUUUUUAAACUCACCCCUGUUUUCGCUUGUUUUAUUGUCCAACCUUGAGGACAAGGUUGUUUUGAAACGGUGGGUAAUGAUAGCAAUUCAGCGGAUACCAACACAAGCAUUUUGCACGUUUUAUUAUCAUUACCUGAUUAGUGGCAAUAUUCACACUUCUGUUAUAACAAACUAUAGGAUAUUUUGUAAGAAAAUCUAUAAAUAAGGAACAGAG